This 998-nucleotide transfer RNA is filed under the name Rhizobium sp. Hc04. RNAcentral's name for it is "16S-23S ribosomal RNA intergenic spacer". The stretch from base 1 to 74 matches the Rfam family "tRNA". The record is from RNAcentral. Lineage: Bacteria; Pseudomonadati; Pseudomonadota; Alphaproteobacteria; Hyphomicrobiales; Rhizobiaceae.
GGGCCCGUAGCUCAGUCGGUUAGAGCACACGCUUGAUAAGCGUGGGGUCGGUAGUUCGAGUCUACCCGGGCCCACCAUGUUUUGUGCUGAUGCUGUUUCGGUCUUUGACCGUUGCGGUUGGCACCUGUUGGUGUUCGGUGAGGUUUGUGGAAACGUUGAUCCGGUUUGUGGCUCGCAAGAGCUUAUCACAGAUUGGGGCUGUAGCUCAGCUGGGAGAGCACCUGCUUUGCAAGCAGGGGGUCAGCGGUUCGAUCCCGCUCAGCUCCACCAUUACAGCGUUUUGAGAAACGCCUCUGUGGGAGAUGCGGUGAGAUUGCGCAGAUUGUUCUGCUGCGACCACCGAUGGGCGACUGCCGUUUUUGUCUUUAAGAGAGAUACCCGUUUGCAUCGGCUUUAUGAGCCUGAUGCCUGUUCUGAUACAUUGUGAAGAGAAGAUAUGUCUGGAGGCUUCCAGGUGUUGUGAGCGAUUGUCGCAAGACGGUCGGUCAUGGCGUCCGAGCCCGGGCCCGUUUGAAACCGUAUGAAGGUCUAGCCGAUCCGAUGCGGUUGAGGGUUUGGGGUAGGUAGGGAGCCUGCAACUCAAGGCAUGGUCAUUGUUGCCGGUCCGUUAUUGUCGACGCGCUCCUGAAAAGGGGGUGUUGAUGAUGGGGGAUCGGUUCUGAUGGUUUGCCCGUGAGCGUUGCCUGACCGCGCGCUCUCAGACAUUAUCUCGAGAAGCUGGUCUUAAGAUCUGACCUUGCAGUGCACCGGCGUGCCUGCGGAUAAGGAUCAGAUCGAACACGUCGAUGGCAUCGUUGAAGAGGUGGAAGUUGUAAAAGGUAACUUCUGCUGUCGUUGCUCGCAUAUCGUUAGCGAGGAACGGUCUGUCUGACACACCUGAGAAGGUGUCCGGAUGGUCAGAUUGGAUAUCCCCUUCUUUGCUUUUGCUCCAACAGGGGCGCAAGCGAGGAGGACAGGUUAUUCCAAUCAACUAGAUGAUGAGCAUUGGCAAUGAGAAC